Molecule: ribosomal RNA, 497 nt
Filed under: uncultured bacterium
Lineage: Bacteria
Description: partial 16S ribosomal RNA
Rfam family: Bacterial small subunit ribosomal RNA
Source: RNAcentral
GAUGAACGCUGGCGGCGUGCCUAAUACAUGCAAGUCGAGCGAACAGACGAGGAGCUUGCUCCUCUUACGUUAGCGGCGGACGGGUGAGUAACACGUGGAUAACCUACCUAUAAGACUGGGAUAACUUCGGGAAACCGGAGCUAAUACCGGAUAAUAUAUUGAACCGCAUGGUUCAAUAGUGAAAGACGGUUUUGCUGUCCCUAAUAGUUGGAUCCGCGCCGCAUUAGCUAGUUGGUAAGGUAACGGCUUACCAAGGCGACGAUGCGUAGCCGACCUGAGAGGGUGAUCGGCCACACUGGAACUGAGACACGGUCCAGACUCCUACGGGAGGCAGCAGUGGGGAAUCUUCCGCAAUGGGCGAAAGCCUGACGGAGCAACGCCGCGUGAGUGAUGAAGGUCUUCGGAUCGUAAAACUCUGUUAUUAGGGAAGAACAAAUGUGUAAGUAACUAUGCACGUCUUGACGGUACCUAAUCAGAAAGCCACGGCUAACUACGUG